This 494-nucleotide ribosomal RNA is filed under the name uncultured bacterium. RNAcentral describes it as "partial 16S ribosomal RNA". It matches the Rfam family "Bacterial small subunit ribosomal RNA", at positions 29 to 523 of the family's 1533-position model. The record is from RNAcentral.
AUGAACGCUAGCGGGAGGCCUAACACAUGCAAGCCGAGCGGUAGAGAUCUUUCGGGAUCUUGAGAGCGGCGUACGGGUGCGGAACACGUGUGCAACCUGCCUUUAUCUGGGAGGUAGCCUUUCGAAAGGAAGAUUAAUACCCCAUAAUAUAUGAUUCGGCAUCGGAUUCUAUUGAAAGCUCCGGCGGAUAGAGAUGGGCACGCGCAAGAUUAGAUAGUUGGUGAGGUAACGGCUCACCAAGUCAGUGAUCUUUAGGGGGCCUGAGAGGGUGAUCCCCCACACUGGUACUGAGACACGGACCAGACUCCUACGGGAGGCAGCAGUGAGGAAUAUUGGACAAUGGGUGAAAGCCUGAUCCAGCCAUCCCGCGUGAAGGACGACGGCCCUAUGGGUUGUAAACUUCUUUUGUAUAGGGAUAAACCUACCCUCGUGAGGGUAGCUGAAGGUACUAUACGAAUAAGCACCGGCUAACUCCGUGCCAGCAGCCGCGGUAA